RNAcentral lists this non-coding RNA (46 nucleotides) under Trichobilharzia regenti. The record is from RNAcentral. Lineage: Eukaryota; Metazoa; Platyhelminthes; Trematoda; Strigeidida; Schistosomatidae.
AUCUAGAAGACGAGUCUCAAAACAGGACGAAAUGAGAAUCCUGGAU